UCCGAUGUGGUGUAGUGGCUAACAUUGCUGUCUUUCACACAGCAGCCCCGGGUUCGAUUCCCGGCGUCGGAA
Molecule: transfer RNA, 72 nt
Filed under: Coniophora puteana RWD-64-598 SS2
Lineage: Eukaryota; Fungi; Basidiomycota; Agaricomycetes; Boletales; Coniophoraceae
Description: tRNA-Glu (TTC) (tRNA-Glu-TTC-1-1, tRNA-Glu-TTC-1-2)
Rfam family: tRNA
About the family: Transfer RNA (tRNA) molecules are approximately 80 nucleotides in length. Their secondary structure includes four short double-helical elements and three loops (D, anti-codon, and T loops).
Source: RNAcentral